GGGGCUGCACUGGUUUCGACGUGGGUUCGGACGCGCAGCAGGGCAUGUCGAGGUUCUGUCACCUCGUUAAACCGCAGAAAAAAAACUAACUGCAAACGACGAACGUUUCGCACUCGCCGCUUAAUUGCGCGUGAGCCUCGCAACAGCAAGCCAAUAGGCUGGGCAAGGGUUGGUGGGCCGAAAGGCACAUCAGUCCAGGCUGCGGGGUAACUUUAUUUGGCUGGAUGGGUGUCGGGCAACUUGUCACCCAUCGAGAUUUAAGGUUGCUGGCGUUUUGCAAAGCGUGCCACUGCGCGUUGCAGGAAGCGAGAUCCAAAUCAGACGGCUACACAUGUAGAACUGCUCGAAAAAGGCUUGCGGACGGGGGUUCGAAUCCCCCCAGCUCCACCA
RNAcentral lists this transfer-messenger RNA (390 nucleotides) under Hydrogenophaga sp. It matches the Rfam family "transfer-messenger RNA". From Rfam's summary of the family: Bacterial tmRNA, also known as 10Sa RNA or SsrA, is named for its dual tRNA and mRNA-like properties. Its role is to liberate the mRNA from a stalled ribosome. Lineage: Bacteria; Pseudomonadati; Pseudomonadota; Betaproteobacteria; Burkholderiales; Comamonadaceae. The record is from RNAcentral.